CAUAAUUAUCUGGACUAUUAACUUUCUUCCAUAUAACUUCGAAAACAGACAAUAAUCUAUUUCAUUGGAUGAGAUUGGGCUCACGGAUUUUUUAAUGGAUUGGACAAGAAAUAUAGAAAAAUAAUGAAAAAUAUAAACAGUUACAAUAGAAAUGAGCGCAAAACAAGAUAAACAGAAUACAACAAGGCCUAAAUGGUCAGAUAUCUUGGUUUUUAUGAUCAUCAACAGGUCCUGCAGGUCUAUACUGAAGAGGAAUUUUAAUUGUUAAUACUUUUCUACAUAAC
Mytilus trossulus (common blue mussel) is the source of this 284-nucleotide long non-coding RNA. RefSeq lists it as uncharacterized. The transcript is spliced from 3 exons. The record is from RefSeq and is a predicted model, not a curated record. Lineage: Eukaryota; Metazoa; Mollusca; Bivalvia; Mytilida; Mytilidae.